This is a long non-coding RNA of Carassius gibelio (silver crucian carp), 1777 nucleotides long. RefSeq lists it as uncharacterized. NCBI's taxonomy places the organism in Eukaryota, Metazoa, Chordata, Actinopteri, Cypriniformes, Cyprinidae. The record is from RefSeq and is a predicted model, not a curated record. The transcript is spliced from 3 exons.
GUUUAGUCUGUGGGUUUCUUGGCGACUAUGAAAGCGUGUAACAUGGCGAAGAAGAAAUACACGAACUAACUGGACACUCCAUAGACGUACUGUUGCUAUCCCGUUCCACUCACCGCAUUCUUCAGGACGGGGCGUGUGACGUGUGUGAUGGAGAAGAGAAAUGGACCUGCAAGCCCCCUUAUGAGAGACAGAUGGCUGAUGGUGAUGUGGACUCAGUUGGUGGAUUCCAGAGAUAUCGUAAACUUCAAGCUUGCAGUUUGUCAGGCCGUGGAUUUCAGACCUACACUAGUCAGAAAUCUUGAAGAACCAAUGGAUUAGUGCUUCAGAAGCUUGCAGUCACAUCUCAGACUUUGAAAAUGUAUUUUUUAUUAGUCUGAUAAUGUUCCCAGACCAUUCUUAGGAAACGGUGCCUAAAAGCUGCAGGAAGUAAAUACUUAAAUUUUAUGUAUUCUUGUUUUCUUACCUCAGGCCCAAAGUUCCGUGGUUGUAACCAGCUCAUUGAGGGGAAAAUUUCCCCGCAGUGUUCAGAUUAGUGGUCAACCGACAUAGUUUUUUAAAUGGCUGAUACUUAAUCUAUUAUCAUCAAGUGUAGCUAUAGCCUAAAAUGCUAAAAUGUGUGGUUGUAGUCUUAUAAAGUACCACUGUCACUACUAACCCUAAAGUAUAACUUAAACUCAAUCACAGUUUGUGUUAAAUGUAAAUAUAAAUAUUGAUAAUUACAGAGAGAAUCUUUUUGAAGCAUGUGGUGUGUCACAAAUUCAGAUUUUGAUGUUUAAAUAGUGUUAAAAAGUAUUACAUCGUAAAUUGAAUAGAAUUUCAAAUUCUGUAUUUUCUCAGAUAUUUAAAAAAGCAGGAUUUUUAAAAAAUAUUUAAAUUAACUUUUUUAACUAAAUAAAAUAUAUUAAAUUGGCUAAUAUCGCAAUGAAUUUUAUUUUUUAUUAUAAAAUAUUUUUGACAUUACACCACUAAAUCUACAAUAGAAAUAAAUAACUUUUAAAUGUUUUACCUGUUAACUAUAAAUUAAAUAUUGAAUAAUCCAUCGAUUCUCAAAAGGCACCAUUCCUUGAGAAUAGUCUUCUCACUCUAUACUUAAAAUCAUAAAAAAAAGAGGAAAAUAAAAUUUCACAACUUAGAGACAAAUAUAAAAUGUCAAAACAGGGGGCAUUGGAAAUAAUUGUUAGACUUAAAAAGAUCAUUAUUUCUCUCCAGAGAGUUGCAAAACAGGAGUCUGCAACAAUGUGUAUCAAAAUUAUUACUCACAUUAAGUUCUUAUAUUUCAAAUAAAUGGUAAAUUUAGCAAAGGUCUGAAAAUGAAUGUGGGUUUACUGUUCCUAUUUCAUAUUUACUGAACUUUAUACAUGAUUGUACAAUCUAAAGUUAAGAACAUGCCAGUGGUUGCACACUGUAAACAAUAGAAACUCUGUCUGUGUGGGCUUUAAAUGCUCUUUUUUUGUUUCCAGGUUUUUUUUUCUGAAAACAGCAGUCAGUUGUCUCAGAUUUGUCUUGUUUUUGGGAUUGAGUAAUAGGGUUCAUUGCGAUGACUGUUGCUGAUUUCAGUCGAUCCGUCUUGUCUUUUUUGAAACCAUACGGCCUUCCCUAGGGUUCAGCUCUCCUGUCGCUUACAAACACUGGCCCCCAUCCCCUCCACAGCAAGCAUGUGGAACAUGUCAUACAGCUUUUUUAAUGGGAGUACGUUAAGCUGUCAGUCACUCGCUCCCAAGGGGGUGUAACCAAGAUCCCCCCCACCACCUGCUGAUAUCCCGUCCCGUCUCAGUGC